AAAAGAUUUGCAGCAUUAUUUUCCAGUCUCUACUCAUAAAACAACACUGCUUAACUACCCAAGUGAUCCAACAGAAGAGUUAUUAAAGUUCUCAGCAGAAUUUCAGCAUUUGCUACUUACUGGUAGAGAAGAAAAACCCCACAGCCCUGCCAGUACAGGUUAGUUUAAUCUAUUUAAACUGAAGUAAAUUUCUAAGGAACUCUGUCCUUUCCUAGCAAGGAUAAGCAGACAUUGAAAAUUUGGUAAGUAUUUAACUUUAAAUGCAUGUGAUAGUGAUGAAAGAAAGUAGCCAAAUUUCCAUAGUUUAAGAUAAUAUGUAGACAUGAACAAGAAUUCUUGGAUCUCCUUUGCGACCUAAUGUCUCCCUGUCUUGCCAGCAGUUUUAUAAACUAGUGUUCACAAUGAUUAAAUUGAAAUGUACCUUA
Eptesicus fuscus (big brown bat) is the source of this 425-nucleotide long non-coding RNA. RefSeq lists it as uncharacterized. The record is from RefSeq and is a predicted model, not a curated record. NCBI's taxonomy places the organism in Eukaryota, Metazoa, Chordata, Mammalia, Chiroptera, Vespertilionidae. The transcript has 3 exons.